UGAGGAAUAUUGGGCAAUGGACGCAAGUCUGACCCAGCCAUGCCGCGUGCAGGAAUAAGGCCCUAUGGGUCGUAAACUGCUUUUGUAAGGGAAGAACCCCGGGCACGUGUGCCCGGCUGACGGUACCUUACGAAUAAGGACCGGCUAACUCCGUGCCAGCAGCCGCGGUAAUACGGAGGGUCCGAGCGUUAUCCGGAAUCAUUGGGUUUAAAGGGUCCGUAGGCGGUAUAACAAGUCAUUGGUGAAAUUCCGGAGCUCAACUCCGGCCGUGCCAAAGAAACUGUUAAACUAGAGUACGUGUGAAGUAGGCGGAAUGUGACAAGUAGCGGUGAAAUGCUUAGAUAUGUCACAGAACACCGAUAGCGAAAGCAGCUUACUAACACGCCACUGACGCUCAGGGACGAAAGCGUGGGGAGCAAACA
RNAcentral lists this ribosomal RNA (422 nucleotides) under uncultured Bacteroidota bacterium. Its description in RNAcentral is "uncultured Bacteroidetes bacterium partial 16S ribosomal RNA". It matches the Rfam family "Bacterial small subunit ribosomal RNA", at positions 355 to 774 of the family's 1533-position model. Lineage: Bacteria; Pseudomonadati; Bacteroidota. The record is from RNAcentral.